GAUGAACGCUGGCGGCGUGCUUAACACAUGCAAGUCGAACGGGAAACCUUUUAUUGAAGCUUCGGCAGAUUUAGCUGGUUUCUAGUGGCGGACGGGUGAGUAACGCGUGGGUAACCUGCCUUAUACAGGGGGAUAACAACCAGAAAUGGUUGCUAAUACCGCAUAAGCGCACAGGACCGCAUGGUCCGGUGUGAAAAACUCCGGUGGUAUAAGAUGGACCCGCGUUGGAUUAGCUAGUUGGCAGGGUAACGGCCUACCAAGGCGACGAUCCAUAGCCGGCCUGAGAGGGUGAACGGCCACAUUGGGACUGAGACACGGCCCAGACUCCUACGGGAGGCAGCAGUGGGGAAUAUUGCACAAUGGGGGAAACCCCGAUGCAGCGACGCCGCGUGAAGGAAGAAGUAUCUCGGUAUGUAAACUUCUAUCAGCAGGGAAGAUAGUGACGGUACCUGACUAAGAAGCCCCGGCUAACUACGUG
Molecule: ribosomal RNA, 478 nt
Filed under: uncultured bacterium
Lineage: Bacteria
Description: partial 16S ribosomal RNA
Rfam family: Bacterial small subunit ribosomal RNA
Source: RNAcentral